Molecule: ribosomal RNA, 467 nt
Filed under: uncultured bacterium
Lineage: Bacteria
Description: partial 16S ribosomal RNA
Rfam family: Bacterial small subunit ribosomal RNA
Source: RNAcentral
GACGAACGCUGGCGGCGUGCUUAACACAUGCAAGUCGAACGGAAAGGCCCUUCUCGUGGGGUAUUCGAGUGGCGAACGGGUGAGUAAAACGUGAGUAACCCGUGCCCGAGUCUGGGGUAAAAUCAGGAAACUGGGGCUAUUAUCGGAUAGGAGAUCCUGCGGCACGUGGGGGGUUGGAAAGAUUGGGGGGUUGGGGGUGGGCACGCGGGUUAUCAGCUUGUUGGGGGGGGAGUGGCUUACAAAGGGUUUGACGGGUAGCCGGCCUGAGAGGGUGACCGGGCACAUUGGGACUGGGAUACGGCCCUGACUCCUCCGGGAGGCAGCAGUGGGGAAUUUUGCACAAUGGGUGGAAGCCUGAUGCAGCAACGCCGUGUGCGGGAUGACGGCCUUCGGGUUGUAAACCGCUUUCGCUCAUGACGAAGCUUUGUGUGACGGUAGUGGGUAAAGAAGCACCGGCUAACUACGUG